ACGCAAUAGAUACCCGGGUAGUCCACGCCGUAAACGAUGGAUACUAGCUGUUGGAGGUAUCGACCCCUUCAGUAGCGAAAGCUAAACGCGUUAAGUAUCCCGCCUGUGGAGUACGGUCGCAAGACUAAAACAUAAAGGAAUUGACGGGGGACCGCACAAGCGGUGGAUCGUGUUCUUUAAUUCGAUGAUAAACGAAGAACCUUACCAGGGCUUGACAUCCAGGGAAGCACUACGAAAGUAGCGUGUGCCUUUUGGAACCCUGUGACAGGUGAUGCAUGGCCGUCGUCAGCUCGUGUCGUGAGAUGUUUGGUUAAGUCCAUCAACGAGCGCAACCCUUGUGAAUAGUUGUAUUUUUCUAUUCAGACUGCCCCGGUAACGGGGAGGAAGGAGGGGAUGAUGUCAGGUCAGUAUUUCCCUUACGUCCUGGGCUAGAAACACGAUACAAUGGCUAGUACAAUGCGCAGCAAAGCCGCGAGGUGGAGCAAAUCGCAUCAAAGCUAGUCCCAGUUCGGAUUGAAGGCUGAAACUCGCCUUCAUGAAGUC
RNAcentral lists this ribosomal RNA (543 nucleotides) under uncultured bacterium. RNAcentral describes it as "bacterial SSU rRNA". It matches the Rfam family "Bacterial small subunit ribosomal RNA", at positions 773 to 1327 of the family's 1533-position model. The record is from RNAcentral.